Molecule: ribosomal RNA, 121 nt
Filed under: Rosa chinensis
Lineage: Eukaryota; Viridiplantae; Streptophyta; Magnoliopsida; Rosales; Rosaceae
Source: RNAcentral
GGGUGCGAUCAGACCAGCAAUAAUGCACCGGAUCCCAUCAGAACUCCGAAGUUAAGCUUGCUUGGGCGAGAGCAGUACUAGGAUGGGUGACCUCCUGGGAAGUCCUCGUGUUGCAUCCCUC